AUUGAACGCUGGCGGCAGGCCUAACACAUGCAAGUCGAACGGUAACAGGAAGAAGCUUGCUUCUUUGCUGACGAGUGGCGGACGGGUGAGUAAUGUCUGGGAAACUGCCUGAUGGAGGGGGAUAACUACUGGAAACGGUAGCUAAUACCGCAUAACGUCGCAAGACCAAAGAGGGGGACCUUCGGGCCUCUUGCCAUCGGAUGUGCCCAGAUGGGAUUAGUUAGUAGGUGGGGUAACGGCUCACCUAGGCGACGAUCCCUAGCUGGUCUGAGAGGAUGACCGGCCACACUGGAACUGAGACACGGUCCAGACUCCUACGGGAGGCAGCAGUGGGGAAUAUUGCACAAUGGGCGCAAGCCUGAUGCAGCCAUGCCGCGUGUAUGAAGAAGGCCUUCGGGUUGUAAAGUACUUUCAGCGGGGAGGAAGGGAGUAAAGUUAAUACCUUUGCUCAUUGACGUUACCCGCAGAAGAAGCACCGGCUAACUCCGUG
This 490-nucleotide ribosomal RNA is filed under the name uncultured bacterium. Its description in RNAcentral is "partial 16S ribosomal RNA". It matches the Rfam family "Bacterial small subunit ribosomal RNA", at positions 30 to 507 of the family's 1533-position model. The record is from RNAcentral.